AUUUACAGCUUCCAAUUACAUGAGUCUCUAUCCCAAUUACAGCUUCGUAGUCUCUCAGAAUCUCAUCAAGCUUGUUGCUUUUAUGUUUUUUGGGUGCAACCCUCGACGGAGAAGUCUGUUUAGCUUCAUGGGUCGUUGCUGUUUGUCUUCCACAACACCUCACGGAGACGUUGUUACUCCUAAUCAAGGCAGUUCCAAGAAGUGAGAACUGGUUUAGCUGAAUUGCUCUUAACAAUGUCGUCGACAUGUUGUUAAGAAUGCUUUAAAGAAUCAGAAAUGAGGAGCUUAAGCAGACGGAACCUGGUCGCAUCACUUCUCACCGGAGUCGUAUCGAAGGAGAAGAGCCGUCGACUUAUCUUUUCACCAAAUUGGGCUUAAUCGAGUGAUUGGGCCUUUUAUGUAUUUUUGAAGCCCAAUUAAAAUUAGACUGCUCUGUUUAAUCUAGUUCUCUAGUUUGUUCGAAUUAUCAUCGAAUCUGUCUCUUCUUCUUCGUCACUCUCUCUUCUCCUUCCUUCCUCUGAUUUGAUUCUUCACCUUAAUUACCCUAAUCCCUAUUUCUGACCUCUAUUUCUGUUAUCUCCUUGAUAAGAACUCCACAAGCUAAACGGCACCGCAAAAUAUAGGUAAUGACGGCAGCGGCAAGUAAGGAGCAGACUCCGACUGAACUGUAUUAGCCUAACCAAUCCAAAACUGAGUCGAAGUCGAAGUUGAAGUCACAGACGAAGUCAAACCCCAGCCGGAACUGCUUUGAUUGCUCAUCUUCGGGAUCGAACUGUAGUCAAUAAUUCAAAAAAUUAGGGUUUCAAGGUAUUGAAAUUUCAGGGAAAUUCGAAGAAUCAAAGAGGAAUUUGAGGGAGAUUGAAGAAUGUGUGAAGAGCCAUGGAGAAAAUUUAGAGGAAAUUAGUAAGAGAUGCAAUUGGCGGAGGAAAAAUCACAUUCCCUGUUUCCGUUAAACAGAUUGUGGAUCCUAAAUUAACUUCUACAUACUUGGUUACCUGACACCCACGGCGAGGCACAUUACAGUACCUGUAUGCUUCUCGCUGGAAUCUUUGGCGGUGAGAGUCCUCUAUAUGCUGUUGUACAGCUUGCUCAGACCACAAUGCGUAGUGAGCUGGGUAAGAUCACGCUUCUUUUUUCUCUCUUUCAAGUUUUAGAACUGUAUUUCAAGUUUUACAUUGCAAAGAACAAUGUAACCCGAUACUUGACCACGCCAAUAGGCUCACCAGAACAACGUUUGCAAAUUAGGGAAGAUCCUGAUUCCAGAAGCUUUAACCCACACUUUCCACAUGCAAUGUAUUAAGGUAGACUGCAUUAUAUAUAUCUUUGUUACUAAUUAAAAUAAAGAAGCUGAAAAGAUGUAUAUAAACAUAUGGAAGUUGUAUACCUGUUCAUCAAGUAGGAGGAAAUAUAGGCUGAUUAUUUUGC
This is a non-coding RNA of Camelina sativa (false flax), 1425 nucleotides long. The record is from RefSeq and is a predicted model, not a curated record. NCBI's taxonomy places the organism in Eukaryota, Viridiplantae, Streptophyta, Magnoliopsida, Brassicales, Brassicaceae.